RNAcentral lists this ribosomal RNA (2917 nucleotides) under Shewanella chilikensis. RNAcentral's name for it is "23S ribosomal RNA". It matches the Rfam family "Bacterial large subunit ribosomal RNA". The record is from RNAcentral. Lineage: Bacteria; Pseudomonadati; Pseudomonadota; Gammaproteobacteria; Alteromonadales; Shewanellaceae.
GUUGUAUGGUUAAGCGACCAAGCGUAUACGGUGGAUGCCUUGGCAGUCAGAGGCGAUGAAGGACGUAGUAACUUGCGAAAAGCGUUGGUGAGCUAGUAACAAGCAUUUGAGCCAGCGAUGUCCGAAUGGGGAAACCCGGCAGCAUAAGCUGUCAUCAAUACGUGAAUACAUAGCGUAUUGAGGCGAACGAGGGGAACUGAAACAUCUAAGUACCCUCAGGAAAAGAAAUCAACCGAGAUUCCCCAAGUAGCGGCGAGCGAACGGGGAUUAGCCCUUAAGUCUUUGGGGUGUUAGUGGAAUGUGUUGGAAAGCACAGCGGCACAGGGUGAUAGCCCCGUACACGUAAACUAACCAGAGAUGAAAUCGAGUAAGGCGGCACACGUGACAUGUUGUCUGAAUAUGGGGGGACCAUCCUCCAAGGCUAAAUACUCCUGACUGACCGAUAGUGAACCAGUACCGUGAGGGAAAGGCGAAAAGAACCCCUGUGAGGGGAGUGAAAUAGAACCUGAAACCGUAUACGUACAAGCAGUGGAAGCGGUCCUUGAGACCGUGACUGCGUACCUUUUGUAUAAUGGGUCAGCGACUUACAUUUAGUAGCGAGGUUAAGCGAAUAGCGGAGCCGUAGGGAAACCGAGUGUUAACUGCGCGUUUAGUUGCUAGGUGUAGACCCGAAACCCGGUGAUCUAGCCAUGGGCAGGUUGAAGGUUGAGUAACAUCAACUGGAGGACCGAACCGACUAAUGUUGAAAAAUUAGCGGAUGACUUGUGGCUGGGGGUGAAAGGCCAAUCAAACCGGGAGAUAUCUGGUUCUCCUCGAAAGCUAUUUAGGUAGCGCCUCGGACGAACACCUUUGGGGGUAGAGCACUGUUAAGGCUAGGGGGUCAUCCCGACUUACCAACCCUUUGCAAACUCCGAAUACCAAAGAGUGCUAUCCGGGAGACAGACGGCGGGUGCUAACGUCCGUCGUCAAAAGGGAAACAACCCAGACCGUCAGCUAAGGUCCCAAAGUAAUUGCUAAGUGGGAAACGAUGUGGGAAGGCUUAGACAGCUAGGAUGUUGGCUUAGAAGCAGCCAUCAUUUAAAGAAAGCGUAAUAGCUCACUAGUCGAGUCGGCCUGCGCGGAAGAUGUAACGGGGCUAAGCAAUUCACCGAAGCUACGGGUACUGAUGCUUGCAUCAGUGCGGUAGAGGAGCGUUCUGUAAGCCGUUGAAGGCGAAGGGGUAACCCCCGCUGGAGGUAUCAGAAGUGCGAAUGCUGACAUGAGUAACGAUAAAGGGGGUGAAAAACCCCCUCGCCGAAAGACCAAGGGUUCCUGUCCAACGUUAAUCGGGGCAGGGUGAGUCGACCCCUAAGGCGAGGCUGAAAGGCGUAGUCGAUGGGAAACGGGUUAAUAUUCCCGUACUUCUGCUAACUGCGAUGGAGAGACGGAGAAGGCUAGGCCAGCGCGGCGUUGGUUGUCCGCGUUUAAGGUAGUAGGUGGUGUGCUUAGGCAAAUCCGGGCACACAUACACUGAGAGCUGACGACGAGUCCCCAAGGGGAUGAAGUGGUUGAUGCCAUGCUUCCAGGAAAAUCUUCUAAGCUUCAGGUUAGUAGGAAUCGUACCCCAAACCGACACAGGUGGUCGGGUAGAGAAUACCAAGGCGCUUGAGAGAACUCGGCUGAAGGAACUAGGCAAAAUGGUACCGUAACUUCGGGAGAAGGUACGCUGCCGGCGGUGAAGACCUCGCGUCGUAAGCUGCUGGCAGUCGCAGAUACCAGGUGGCUGCAACUGUUUAUCAAAAACACAGCACUGUGCAAAAUCGCAAGAUGACGUAUACGGUGUGACGCCUGCCCGGUGCCGGAAGGUUAAUUGAUUGGGUUAUCUUCGGAGAAGCUCAUGAUCGAAGCCCCGGUAAACGGCGGCCGUAACUAUAACGGUCCUAAGGUAGCGAAAUUCCUUGUCGGGUAAGUUCCGACCUGCACGAAUGGCGUAAUGAUGGCCACGCUGUCUCCAGCCGAGACUCAGUGAAGUUGAAAUUGCGGUGAAGAUGCCGUAUACCCGCGGCUAGACGGAAAGACCCCGUGAACCUUUACUAUAGCUUGGCACUGAACAUUGACCCUACAUGUGUAGGAUAGGUGGGAGACUAUGAAGAUGAGACGCCAGUCUUGUUGGAGUCAACCUUGAAAUACCACCCUUGUAGUGUUGAUGUUCUAACCUUGGUCCCUUAUCGGGAUUAGGGACAGUGCCUGGUGGGUAGUUUGACUGGGGCGGUCUCCUCCCAAAGAGUAACGGAGGAGCACGAAGGUUGGCUAAGUACGGUCGGACAUCGUACGGUUAGUGCAAUGGCAUAAGCCAGCUUAACUGCGAGACAGACACGUCGAGCAGAUGCGAAAGCAGGUCAUAGUGAUCCGGUGGUUCUGAAUGGAAGGGCCAUCGCUCAACGGAUAAAAGGUACUCCGGGGAUAACAGGCUGAUACCGCCCAAGAGUUCAUAUCGACGGCGGUGUUUGGCACCUCGAUGUCGGCUCAUCACAUCCUGGGGCUGAAGUCGGUCCCAAGGGUAUGGCUGUUCGCCAUUUAAAGUGGUACGCGAGCUGGGUUCAGAACGUCGUGAGACAGUUCGGUCCCUAUCUGCCGUGGGCGUUGGAUGAUUGAGGGGAGCUGCUCCUAGUACGAGAGGACCGGAGUGGACGAACCGCUGGUGUUCGGGUUGUCAUGCCAAUGGCAUUGCCCGGUAGCUACGUUCGGAAUCGAUAACCGCUGAAAGCAUCUAAGCGGGAAGCGAGCCCCAAGAUGAGUCAUCCCUAGGUCCUAGAGACCUCUGAAGAGCCGUUCGAGACCAGGACGUUGAUAGGCAGGGUGUGUAAGCGUUGCGAGGCGUUGAGCUAACCUGUACUAAUGACUCGAGAGGCUUAACCAUACAACCCAGAUGGGUUUU